RNAcentral lists this non-coding RNA (97 nucleotides) under Priestia koreensis. RNAcentral's name for it is "Bacillus koreensis TPP sequence". It matches the Rfam family "TPP riboswitch aptamer (THI element)". From Rfam's summary of the family: Vitamin B(1) in its active form thiamin pyrophosphate (TPP) is an essential coenzyme that is synthesised by coupling of pyrimidine and thiazole moieties in bacteria. Lineage: Bacteria; Bacillati; Bacillota; Bacilli; Caryophanales; Bacillaceae. The record is from Rfam by way of RNAcentral.
UUUUAACACUAGGGGAGCCAUUUGGCUGAGACGACUAUUCGGACCCUUUGAACCUGAUCUGGUUUGUACCAGCGUAGGGAAGUGGUGAAGCAGAUCU